RNAcentral lists this non-coding RNA (127 nucleotides) under Aerococcus viridans. RNAcentral describes it as "GlcN6P sequence". It matches the Rfam family "glmS glucosamine-6-phosphate activated ribozyme aptamer". Rfam says of the family: This entry contains a glucosamine-6-phosphate activated ribozyme that is found in the mRNA for GlmS. Lineage: Bacteria; Bacillati; Bacillota; Bacilli; Lactobacillales; Aerococcaceae. The record is from RNAcentral.
AUUUUUGGGAUAGCGCCAGGCUUGCUUAGCAAGUGACGAGGACUGAAUUGAUCGAAAUAUUCGGCGGAUGAUUCAGGGGUUGUACAAUCCACAGGUGGGAAAAAAGUAAGACAAUCAAUGAUCUAGA